RNAcentral lists this long non-coding RNA (1640 nucleotides) under Olea europaea subsp. europaea. The record is from RNAcentral. Lineage: Eukaryota; Viridiplantae; Streptophyta; Magnoliopsida; Lamiales; Oleaceae.
GUUUUAUGCUUGAUAAUGUAUUAAUUUUCUUGUUUUAUGAUUCCAAAAAUCCCUACCCUCAAAUUAAAAUCCGUAUGUUUAAACACUUUUUCUUCAGAUCUGUUGUCUUAUAAUUUCCUUAAUUCCCUAUGAGGUUAUCUUAUCCUCUUCCUGUGUUAUAGUGCUUUUAUAUAAUUUCUAAUUGGUUUCAGGUAGUUUCCUCAUCAUUACUGGCAUUGGCAACACUGCUUGAUGUUUUUGUAUCUGGGCAAUUUGAAAGGUCUGAUUUGGACAACAUGAUAGGUGAAUCAAAGCAUGCUGUGAAAGCCAGGGCUAUGAAUGUGGCUGUUUCUAGUGCAGAGAAGUUGUUCUCCGCUCAUAAAUAUUUUCUAGACUUUCUAAAGUCUCAAAGCCCAGCAAUCCGUUCAGCUACAUAUUCAGUGCUGAGGAGUUAUAUAAAAAACAUACCUGAUGUUGUAAAUAAAGGUGAUAUGAAAAGUCUAGCUGUGACUAUACUUGGUGCUUUCCAGGAAAGGAAUCCAGCAUGCCAUUCAUCAAUGUGGCAAACAGUGCUUAUCUUUAGUAGAACAUAUCCAGACAGUUGGACUACCUUGAAUGUUCAAAAAAUUAUUCUAAGUCGGUUAUGGGAUUUUCUGAAGAAUGGAUGUUUUGGAUCUCAGCAAGUGUCUUACCCAGCUCUAGUUUUAUUUUUAGACACAAUUCCUCCAAAAGCAGUUGUAGGAGAGAAAUUUAUCCUGCAAUUUUUCCAGAAUUUGUGGGCAGGGAGAAAGUUGUCUUACUUUUCUAACGGGGAUCAACUGGCAUUUUUCGUGGGCUUGGAAGAAUGUUUCCUUUGGACUUUAAGAAAUGCUUCUAGGUAUGAGUUCCUUGAGUUAGAUGGCAAUUUGAGUACUUUACACAGACUGACACACACACACACACACAAAAGCAUACAUACAUUUAUUGUGGUUACUGUUUUUGCUUAAAUCUUAUUUUAGUUUUGGUUAUUAUAAUGGCUACUUUUGCUCCUCUUUGGUAUCAGAUAUUGUGAUGGAGUAGAAGCCAUUUACAGCUUCCAGCGUACUCUUGUUGAUACGGUAGUAAUAGGUCUUCUGUGGCAUGAGUACCUUCUGGCAGCCAGCUCUAAAUAUCAGGACACAUCCUUCUCUGAAACUACUAUCUCUUCAUCCAAGUGUAGUACUGAACCUGUUGAUAAGGAGUCAAGGGAAACAUUUAAUGUCAAAUAUCCAGCAGAUUAUGAGGAAAAUCUUGGGAAAUGCAUCAUCAGAAUCCUUUCAGGGAUCCAUUGCCUGAAACAUGAUCUGCUUUUGGUUUUCUGUUCAACAUUUCAAGGGAAUUGUCUGGAUCUAUUUCGGCAAACAGAGCGCUCUUCUCAAAAUGUAGAAUGGGCUGUCAAAUUUUUAAUUUUACUGGACGAACAUGCUGUACAGAAGGGUGAAUCAUGGCCCUUGGUUAAUUUAUUGGGGCCCACGUUGAAAGAGUCUUUCCCAGUCAUUGAAACAUCUGUAAGUUAAGAAUGCAACUUUGAAGCUCUUACGAUGGUUAGUAAAAAUGAUUUAGGCGUUAACAUUUGGCUUACUUUAACAUAUACUUUGCACAAUAGCUAGGAGUUUCAACGUGAGGUUAUUUGGUUAUGUUAA